Musa acuminata subsp. malaccensis (wild Malaysian banana) is the source of this 587-nucleotide non-coding RNA. Lineage: Eukaryota; Viridiplantae; Streptophyta; Magnoliopsida; Zingiberales; Musaceae. The record is from RefSeq and is a predicted model, not a curated record.
CCCAUUAUUAAUGAGUUUUCUCCUUUGCCUCUGUUGUCAUGCUAAUCUUCCAAAGCUAAUAUAUAUAUAUUUUUGCAAAGAGUCAGUGAUGAAGAUGAGAUUCAAACUCAGGACCUUGUGAGAAACUGUAAAGGUCUUUACCAGGAGGAUGGCAUGAUUGUAAAGACAGGUGAUGUUUCACUAGCAAACCAGCUUGAGAGGGAGGCUACAGAGGGAUGUCCAUGUCAUAAUUGUAGAGCUGGUAUAUGAUUUCAGAGGAAAUGUAUCCGACUCACACCUGUUGAAGUGGUAGAUCGACGAUCACAUGCCUUGAUGCAUCAUUUGAGAGUAAUACACUACCAUUGCCAUCACGCAAACGAGGAGUACGAUCAAAUUUUGGUAUCUAAUUAGUUGGUUGCAGAAGGUGUGCUUGUAGGUUUAAGUUGUAGUCGGUGGAUAUUUCAUGACAUAUUGUUGUAAAUCUUCUCAUAAGCUUUAUAUACUCCAAACAGAUUUGAUUAGUGUCGGAAAUUAUUUUUGUAGAAGAAAUAAUUCUCUUAAGAUGAAUAGUUGAUAUAGAACAUUCUUUGAGUGUUUAGUCACUUCAA